Molecule: RNA transcript, 2815 nt
Organism: Poecile atricapillus (Black-capped chickadee)
Lineage: Eukaryota; Metazoa; Chordata; Aves; Passeriformes; Paridae
Gene: ANGPT4
Gene name: angiopoietin 4
Exons: 10
Source: RefSeq, a predicted model, not a curated record
GGGCUGCCGAUAAAAGGCCGGGGCAGCCAGCGCCGGCUCAGAGGGAGGAAAUGCCGAAAUCGCCGCGGCUGGAGGCGGCGGGGAGCGCCCACUGACCCAUCCCGGCACGGAGCAAGCUGCCGGCGCAUCCCCCGCCCUGGCAGCCCGGCCCCGCGGGGACCCCCGAGCCAUGCGGGCGCUCAGCCUCGGCCUGAUGGCCCUGACCUGUGCCACGACGGCUCUGUGCGCUGCUGGAGCCCAGCGCCGGGCUCUGGAGGGCGGCGGCCACCGGCGCUACCACCGAGUGCAGCACGGCCACUGCAGCUACACCUUCGUGCUGCCCGAGACCGACCCCCUGCCCUGCCCUGCCCCCGGCCCUGCCCCCGGCCCGGCCGGCGUGCUGCUCCAGCGGGACUCGCCGGCUGGAACCGCCGGGCACGGGGCUGCUCAGCGCCUGCGGCACCUCGAGAGGAUCCUGGAGAACAGCACCCAGUGGCUGCUGAAGCUGGAGAGCUACAUCCAGAGCAGCGUGAAGCCGGAGAUGGCGGAGCUGCGGCAGACGGCAGUGCAGAACCAGACUGCCACCAUGCUGGAGAUCGGCAGCUCCCUCCUCAACCGCAGCGCCGAGCAGAGCCGCAAGCUCACUGACGUGGAGGCCCAGGUGCUGAAUCAGACGUGGCGCAUCGAGAUGCAGCUCCAGGAGAAUUCCCUGUCCACCAGCAAGCUGGAGAAGCAGCUGCUGCUGCAGACCAAUGAGAUCCACAAGCUGCAGAACAGAAACAACAUCCUGGAGGUGCGGGUGCUGGAGAUGGAAACGAAGCAGCAGGCGGAGCUGGCGGGGGCCCACUCAGAGAAGGAGAAGCUGCAGCGGCUGCUGAGCCGCCAGAGCGGCACCAUCGAGGAGAUGGAAAAGACGCUGCUGGCUGCCAGUGCCAACACCAGCCUGCUCCAGCGGCAGCAGCUCCAGCUCCUCCAGUCUGUCCAGAGCCUGGUGCGCCUCGUCUCCCGGGGCAGAGCCAUGUCACCUGGGCAGGAGCAGCAAUUCCAGGACUGUGCUGAGGUGCGCCGGGCGGGCAUCCAUGCUAGUGGCGUCUACACCCUGCACAUUGCCAACCUCAGCGAGCCCAAAAAGGCAUACUGUGACAUGGAGACAGAUCGAGGGGGCUGGACCAUCAUCCAGCUUCGUGCCAACGGCAGCCUCAGCUUCCAGAGGAGCUGGAGGGAGUACAAGCAGGGCUUUGGGGACGCAUCAGGGGAGUACUGGCUGGGGAAUGAGGCCGUGCACCUGCUGACGAGCCGGGUGCCCUACGCCCUGCGGGUCGAGCUGCAGGACUGGGAGGGCGGCCAGGUCUAUGCCCACUACAGGAAAUUCCAGCUGGGGAGCGAGCGGCAGUUUUACAGGCUGUCGCUGCAGGACUACAGUGGCACGGCUGGGCAGCAGAGUGGCCUGGCACUGCAGGGCACCCAAUUCAGCACCCGUGACGCCGACAAUGACAACUGUCUCUGCAAGUGUGCCCAGAUGCUCUCGGGAGGAUGGUGGUUUGAUGCCUGUGGCCUCUCCAACCUGAAUGGCAUCUACUACCCGGCCCGGAACAACAUCCGCAAGCUCAACGGCAUCCGCUGGCACCACUUCCAGGGGCCCAGCUACUCCCUGAGGGGCACCCGCAUGAUGAUCCGACCCAGCAGCUUCUAACGAGCCCGCGGCCAGUGCCAGCACUAAGAGACAAGUCCAGGACAAGGGAUGGUUGGGGGCGGCUGAGAUGCCCCAGCUGCUGCAGGGAACCUUUGCCAUGAGUUGUAUUUUUUUACUCUUGUUUAUCCCAUUUUUCAGAAGUCUGCAGUGUCACCGUGGCCAUGCUGGAGGAACUGUGGGCAGGGGUGAAGGGUGCUGCAGGAGCUGGAGCUGCAGGAGCUGGAGUGGGACAAAGCCAGACCUGCUAAAGUGGGCUUCAGCAUAUGGAAACCCCCUGACCUCACCUCAGCUUCUCUCCCUGAAUUUCUGCUGGGCCUCAGGGUUUUGUCUUGGGAACAGGGCUCCAAGACCCUCCCAGUGAUGGGGCUCUGAGAACCCCUGGGACCACGUGCAUUCAGAGAGCACUUCAUCAGCCUGACUCACAGCCAGAUGCCAUCCCUGUGUCCUGUCACCACGUCCUGACACCACAUCCUGCCCUCCACAUUCCUGGCAGCUGGACCUGACAAUACCCCAGCAGGAGUCAGAUGGAUCCUGCACCCCAAGCAGAGGAUCUGGGUGGACACACAACAGCGCAGGAAUCAAGCUGGGGUGGUAAAUUCUUCUUUGUGACAGCUUUUCUGGGGACCCCAAACACUGGAUGGAAGCCCCAGUCAAGGGGCCCAUGGUGCUGCCUUAGCCAGCAGCUGCUGAGGGGGCUGGCACUGAAGGGAGGCAGCAGCAGGCCCAGGGUCAGGUAGGGUCCCUGGGUGCAGGUGCUUGCUGGUGGCUUUGAUGUCACCUUCCCCAGCAGACACCUGCUUGCAUGGGACAUGUCAGGAGUGUGGGGACUGCAGGGCACAGGUGACACCUGAGGUGCCAGGAGGGCUGUGGUGCCAUGCAAGGCUGCCCUGGGAGAACACACAGGCGCUUUUCAUCUUCAAAGCGCUCCCUGCGCCAACUUUCAUCCCGGCCCACCUGGGAGGUCUCUGCUAUUGCCGCCCCCAUCUCCCAGUUCUUGGAGAGCUGGGACCUGGCCAAGCUUUGCAGGAGUGAGGGAAGGAGGCAGGGGAGGGUGCAUGGCACAGAGGGGAAUCCCAACAGCUGAGGUUCUGCCGGGACCUGCCAGAGCCAACCGCCGCCCUGCCGUGCCCGCCGGGCCCCGCG